This 485-nucleotide ribosomal RNA is filed under the name uncultured bacterium. Its description in RNAcentral is "partial 16S ribosomal RNA". It matches the Rfam family "Bacterial small subunit ribosomal RNA", at positions 28 to 523 of the family's 1533-position model. The record is from RNAcentral.
GACGGACGCUGGCGGCGUGCUUAACACAUGCAAGUCGAACGAUGAAGCCGGAGCUUGCUCCGGUGGAUUAGUGGCGAACGGGUGAGUAACACGUGAGCAAUCUGCCCUUGACUCUGGGAUAACUGCGGGAAACUGUAGCUAAUACCGGAUACGACACCUUGGGGCAUCCCAGGGUGUGGAAAGAAUUUCGGUCAAGGAUGAGCUCGCGGCCUAUCAGCUAGUUGGUGAGGUAAUGGCUCACCAAGGCGACGACGGGUAGCCGGCCUGAGAGGGUGACCGGCCACACUGGAACUGAGACACGGUCCAGACUCCUACGGGAGGCAGCAGUGGGGAAUAUUGCACAAUGGGCGAAAGCCUGAUGCAGCAACGCCGCGUGAGGGAUGAAGGCCUUCGGGUUGUAAACCGCUUUCAGCAGGGAAGAAGCCGCAAGGUGACGGUACCUGCAGAAGAAGCACCGGCUAACUACGUGCCAGCAGCCGCCGUAA